UGGGGAAUAUUGCGCAAUGGGGGAAACCCUGACGCAGCAACGCCGCGUGCGGGAUGAAGGCUUUCGGGUUGUAAACCGCUUUCAGUAGGGAAGAUAGUGACGGUACCUACAGAAGAAGCCCCGGCUAAAUACGUGCCAGCAGCCGCGGUAAUACGUAUGGGGCAAGCGUUAUCCGGAUUCAUUGGGCGUAAAGCGCGCGCAGGCGGGCGCCUAAGCGGGACCUCUAAUCUCGGGGCUCAACCCCGAGCCGGGUUCCGAACUGGGCACCUCGGGUUCGGUAGGGGUAGACGGAAUUCCCGGUGUAGCGGUGGAAUGCGCAGAUAUCGGGAAGAACACCGAUGGCGAAGGCAGUCUACUGGGCCGCAACCGACGCUGAGGCGCGAAAGCUGGGGGAGCGAACA
Molecule: ribosomal RNA, 401 nt
Filed under: uncultured Adlercreutzia sp.
Lineage: Bacteria; Bacillati; Actinomycetota; Coriobacteriia; Eggerthellales; Eggerthellaceae
Description: bacterial SSU rRNA
Rfam family: Bacterial small subunit ribosomal RNA
Source: RNAcentral